This 1562-nucleotide ribosomal RNA is filed under the name Companilactobacillus paralimentarius. Its description in RNAcentral is "Lactobacillus paralimentarius 16S ribosomal RNA". It matches the Rfam family "Bacterial small subunit ribosomal RNA". The record is from RNAcentral. Lineage: Bacteria; Bacillati; Bacillota; Bacilli; Lactobacillales; Lactobacillaceae.
AGAGUUUGAUYMUGGCUCAGGANGAACGCUGGCGGCAUGCCUAAUACAUGCAAGUCGAACGAACCAUCCUGAUGAUUGAAGCUUGCUUCAUGAUUCAGACCUUGGUGAGUGGCGGACGGGUGAGUAACACGUGGGUAACCUGCCCAGAAGUGGGGGAUAACAUUUGGAAACAAGUGCUAAUACCGCAUAACAACUUAGAUCACAUGAUCUUUGUUUAAAAGAUGGUUUUGCUAUCUCUUCUGGAUGGACCCGCGGCGUAUUAGCUAGUUGGUGAGGUAAUAGCUCACCAAGGCGAUGAUACGUAGCCGACCUGAGAGGGUAAUCGGCCACAUUGGGACUGAGACACGGCCCAAACUCCUACGGGAGGCAGCAGUAGGGAAUCUUCCACAAUGGACGAAAGUCUGAUGGAGCAAUGCCGCGUGAGUGAAGAAGGUUUUCGGAUCGUAAAACUCUGUUGUUGAAGAAGAAUAUAUGUGAGAGUAACUGUUCACGUACUGACGGUAUUCAACCAGAAAGCCACGGCUAACUACGUGCCAGCAGCCGCGGUAAUACGUAGGUGGCAAGCGUUGUCCGGAUUUAUUGGGCGUAAAGAGAAUGUAGGCGGUUUAUUAAGUUUGAAGUGAAAGCCCUCGGCUCAACCGAGGAAGUGCUUCGAAAACUGGUAAACUUGAGUGCAGAAGAGGAAAGUGGAACUCCAUGUGUAGCGGUGGAAUGCGUAGAUAUAUGGAAGAACACCAGUGGCGAAGGCGGCUUUCUGGUCUGUAACUGACGCUGAGAUUCGAAAGCAUGGGUAGCAAACAGGAUUAGAUACCCUGGUAGUCCAUGCCGUAAACGAUGAGUGCUAAGUGUUGGAGGGUUUCCGCCCUUCAGUGCUGCAGCUAACGCAUUAAGCACUCCGCCUGGGGAGUACGAUCGCAAGAUUGAAACUCAAAGGAAUUGACGGGGGCCCGCACAAGCGGUGGAGCAUGUGGUUUAAUUCGAAGCAACGCGAAGAACCUUACCAGGUCUUGACAUACCAUGAAAAGCUUAGAGAUAAGUCUUUCCCUUCGGGGACAUGGAUACAGGUGGUGCAUGGUUGUCGUCAGCUCGUGUCGUGAGAUGUUGGGUUAAGUCCCGCAACGAGCGCAACCCUUAUUAUCAGUUGCCAGCAUUCAGUUGGGCACUCUGGUGAGACUGCCGGUGAUAAACCGGAGGAAGGUGGGGACGACGUCAAAUCAUCAUGCCCCUUAUGACCUGGGCUACACACGUGCUACAAUGGUCGGUACAACGUGCUGCGAACUCGCGAGGGCAAGCAAAUCACUUAAAACCGAUCUCAGUUCGGAUUGUAGGCUGCAACUCGCCUACAUGAAGCUGGAAUCGCUAGUAAUCGCGGAUCAGCAUGCCGCGGUGAAUACGUUCCCGGGCCUUGUACACACCGCCCGUCACACCAUGAGAGUUUGUAACACCCAAAGUCGGUGGGGUAACCCUUCGGGGAACUAGCCGCCUAAGGUGGGACAAAUGAUUAGGGUGAAGUCGUAACAAGGUAGCCGUAGGAGAACCUGCGGCUGGAUCACCUCCUUUNU